Molecule: ribosomal RNA, 490 nt
Filed under: uncultured bacterium
Lineage: Bacteria
Description: partial 16S ribosomal RNA
Rfam family: Bacterial small subunit ribosomal RNA
Source: RNAcentral
GAUGAACGCUAGCUACAGGCUUAACACAUGCAAGUCGCGGGGCAGCAUGGGGGUUGCUUGCAAUCCCCGAUGGCGACCGGCGCACGGGUGAGUAACGCGUAUCCAACCUGCCCUUCACCACGGGAUAACCCGGCGAAAGUCGGACUAAUACCGUAUGUUGUCCAUUGACGGCAUCCGAUUUGGACGAAAGGUUUGGCGGUGAAGGAUGGGGAUGCGUCCGAUUAGCUGGACGGCGGGGUGACGGCCCACCGGGGCGACGAUCGGUAGGGGUGCUGAGAGGAAGGUCCCCCACACUGGAACUGAGACACGGUCCAGACUCCUACGGGAGGCAGCAGUGAGGAAUAUUGGUCAAUGGGCGUAAGCCUGAACCAGCCAAGUAGCGUGCAGGAGGACGGCCCUAUGGGUUGUAAACUGCUUUUAUGCGGGGAUAAAGUGGCCCACGUGUGGGUCUUUGCAGGUACCGCAUGAAUAAGGACCGGCUAAUUCCGUG